AUGAGCAAAGCUUAUGAAAGGGUAGAAUGGUGUUUCCUAAGGAAACUGCUGAGCAAAUUAGGCUUCUGUGAUGCUUUUGUUGAUUUGAUCAUGCAGUGCAUGGAAUCAGUGAAAUACACCAUUAAAGUAAAUGGAGAGCUAACUGAAGAAAUUGUGCCAGAAAGAGGACUAAGGCAAGGGGAUCCUUUAUCCCCUUACUUGUUCAUCAUUUGUGCUGAAGCUUUCUCCUCCAUGUUUUACAAGGCUGAAGAAGAGGGCACAAUGAAAGGAGUCCGUGUCUGCCAAAAAGCUCCGAGCAUCUCACAUUUAUUCUUUGCGGAUGACUCACUUAUCUUAUGUAGAGCUAAGAAAAAUGAUAUCAUGAAGUUAAAGGAAAUAUUAUCCACAUAUGAGUCUCUCUCGGGUCAAACUAUAAGCAAGGACAAAACAACAAUCCUAUUCAGCGAAAAUACGACCGAACAGUGCAGGAAGGAAUUCAAGGAUGCAUUAGGAAUAUGGAGUGAGACAACAAAUGAGCAAUAUCUUGGGCUACCAGUGCACAUUGGAAAAUCAAAAGUGAAAAUUUUCAGUUUUCUGAAGGAUAGAAUAUGGAAGAAGAUACAGGGAUGGAAAGAAAAGAUGUUGUCUCGUGCCGAAAAAGAGAUUCUCAUUAAAGCGGUAGCUCAGGCAAUACCGACAUAUACAAUGAGCUGCUUUGAGAUAACUAGGACAAUUUGUGAGAAAAUUUCCUCUCUAAUUGGUAGAUAUUGGUGGAGCAGUCAGGAGAAGGACAAUAAAAUUCAUUGGUUAAGUUGGGACAAAUUAACUAGGCCAAAGGGAGAAGGUCGAUUGGGGUUGAGGGACUGCUAUGCUUUCAACAUAGCCAUGCUGGCAGGCAGGGCUGGAGACUUUUAA
RNAcentral lists this ribosomal RNA (894 nucleotides) under Triticum aestivum (bread wheat). RNAcentral describes it as "partial small subunit ribosomal RNA". The record is from RNAcentral. Lineage: Eukaryota; Viridiplantae; Streptophyta; Magnoliopsida; Poales; Poaceae.